Non-coding RNA from Cinara cedri, 286 nucleotides. The record is from the annotation of a GenBank genome assembly. NCBI's taxonomy places the organism in Eukaryota, Metazoa, Arthropoda, Insecta, Hemiptera, Aphididae.
AUUCAUAGCUACCCAGCACACGCCAUUGCUAAUUUUGCUUUUUUCAUUAGGUACUGUUAUCAUAAAAUAGUUAUAAUUGUUGAAUUAAAAUAAACUUUUUCCAGGCCUUCCCGAAACCACUGCGAGAUAUUCGCGGCAGUUAGAGGAAUGCUGGUCUAUGCAAUUCACAAUGUACAAGUGGAUAAUAAGGCUCAUGAGAAGUGAUCGAAUUUAUAUUCUCUUAAAAUCCUUGAAAUAUGAUGUUUUUAUGUCGUUUAAAAUAGGUAAGAUAUUAUCUUAAUAUUCU